Saccostrea cuccullata (small rock oyster) is the source of this 2224-nucleotide long non-coding RNA. RefSeq lists it as uncharacterized. The transcript has 6 exons. The record is from RefSeq and is a predicted model, not a curated record. NCBI's taxonomy places the organism in Eukaryota, Metazoa, Mollusca, Bivalvia, Ostreida, Ostreidae.
UUUAUUGAUAUUGAAGCUUGUAAACAAAACCAAUAAACGUAGGACUUAUUCACGACAAUGUAUGGGAACCAGUCUAAAAAGGAAACGAAAAUUCCGCCAAGUAAACAACAAAGAAAGGGAUUUGGGAUGUUGUCAGUUGUAUGUAUACAUUAUGUGCGACGGUGACUGCAAGAAACAAGGAAUAUGGAGCUAAUGCAUGCUGCUAAGGAUGGAAAGGUCUUGUGUGUAUUGGUUGUGCCUGAGUCACCAGUCACAGUUGUACCUUAUUUCCAUUUUAGGGAGUCUAUAUACAUUUGAGGUGAGCGGCAGAUUUAAUUUUGAAGAUGGGUGACUUUCAGAUGUUGUGAUGAAGAUUGUUGAAAGGGAUUAUCAGAAUAGAACCAAUCCAUAUGAAUGUGCAAGUCAGAAACAAGGAAUGUGGAGGUAAUGCAUGCUGCUAAGGAUGGAAAGGUCUUGUGUUUAUUGGUUGUGCCUGAGACACCAGUCACAGUUGUACCUUAUUUCCAUUUUAGGGAGUCUAUAUACAUUUGAGGUGAGCGACAGAUUUAAUUUUGAAGAUGGGUGACUUUCAGAUGUUGUGAUGAAGAUUGUUGAAAGGGAUCAUCAGCAUAGAACCAAUCCAUAUGAAUGUGCAAGUCAGGACUUGUACAACACCUGAGUACCUAGAUGACUGUUGAACUAAUCGGUGAACAAGAGAAGAUGUCAGAGAGGGGAAUCCAAUGCAGAUGUCAUGAUCAAGAAUAUAUAUGCUUAUCAAUGAUAUGAUCAAGAAUAUGUAAACUUGUAACAAUUUAAAAUAUCUUUUCUGUAAAUCACUCUUCAUUACUUAAUUGUUCACACAUUAUCAUCUACACUUAUGCUAUAAAUCUUAUCUGUAUAUUAAUCGCCCCCUCUUAUCUAACCCCCUGAUGAUCGUAAUGACUUGUGUAUUGACUCCUGAUCUUAAGGAUCUUGUAAUGUGCUCCUGAUCGUCAGGAACGGAUCUUGAGUAUAUAUAUAGCGCGACAGAAUUUUAAAAUAAGAUAGGAAGAUGGAAAUAUAGAAGACUUAGUAGAUAGAACUGUUAGAGAUAGAUAAAGUUACUCACUUACUUGGACUAUUACGUAAUAUUUCUUGGAUUUAUAUGUACAUGUGAUUGUUUUACUUGGAUUUUAUUUUUUGUGAAUUAUUUUUCCUGAAUGUUUCUAUUUGUGAUGUGCUGUGUAAUUAAACUGUAGACUAGAAUUUCGGCAUCUAUUUUCAAGAUAUGAGGAACAAGGAUAAAUUAAUUUAUUCAUGCAAACUGACAUUAUGAAAUGUGUUGUAAGACUGCUCGGUGCGGCGCUACAAACUAACUAGGAAAUAUCUUGGAGAUUUAUAGAUGAACAUGCAAGCAUUCAUGAUUUUGAAUGUUAUUCAACCAGAGAGUUUUUGCAUAAAUUUAAUUUUCAGUACAGUAAUCUAAACUGGAUGUGUAAUUUUCAGUACUGUUAUGUAAAAUGAAUAUGUUACUUAUUAUGAUUGUCAAUUUCUCAACAGGACACAAUUGUAGUUUAUUUAUACGAUCACUCUUGCAGAACAAAACACACAGAACUUUUUUUUCUCUGUGUGCAUCAUACACUUGUAAACGUUUUACACCACCAUGUUUACAUAUUUUACAUUGAUGACAUGUAAAUCGAGCACACACAUGAAAAUGCGUAUAUCUGGAUACAUGCAAACAUGCAUCUACCAUAACCUAUUACAUAUUUUCCAAGGUGUGUGAAGUCGAGCACAUACAUGAAAAUGUGUGAAGCUGGACACAUACACAAAUACACAUGCAUCUGCCACAACCUAUUACAUAUUUUCCAAGGUGUGUGAAGUCGAGCACAUACAUGAAAAUGUGUGAAGCUGGACACAUACACAAAUACACAUGCAUCUGCCACAACCUAUUACAUAUUUUCCAAGGUGUGUGAAGUCGAGCACAUGCAUGAAAAUGUGUGAAGCUGGACACAUAUGCAAACACACUAACAUAUACCACAGACAUAAAAACAUAAUCUAAACUAAGUCAAGCACAGACAGGCUCACUGGGUGAAGCUGGACUCAUACAUGAUCUCAUGCAUUUUGCAAACUGCAUCCUCACGUAUAUUCUAAUAGAUUUUUCACCAUUUUUUGUGUUUGUGAAUAUGUAAAAUGCAUCAUUUUGCAUUACAAGUUGAAGAUGUUAUUAGCCUGUAUAUAAGCGCAAAUCAAAUAGCCUUUUAUGUAA